AUUGAACGCUGGCGGCGUGCCUAACACAUGCAAGUCGAGCGGUAACAGGUGUAGCAAUACAUGCUGACGAGCGGCGAACGGGUGAGUAAUGCUUCGGAAUCUACCCAAUGGUGGGGAAUAACCAGCCGAAAGGUUGGCUAAUACCGCAUACGUCCCACGGGAGAAAGCAGGGGAUCGCAAGACCUUGCGCCAAUGGAUGAGCCGAAGUCGGAUUAGCUAGUUGGAGGGUAACGGCCUACCAAGGCGACGAUCCGUAGCUGGUCUGAGAGGACGACCAGCCACACUGGGACUGAGACACGGCCCAGACUCCUACGGGAGGCAGCAGUGGGGAAGUAUU
Molecule: ribosomal RNA, 337 nt
Filed under: uncultured bacterium
Lineage: Bacteria
Description: bacterial SSU rRNA
Rfam family: Bacterial small subunit ribosomal RNA
Source: RNAcentral